RNAcentral lists this ribosomal RNA (253 nucleotides) under uncultured prokaryote. RNAcentral's name for it is "partial 16S ribosomal RNA". It matches the Rfam family "Bacterial small subunit ribosomal RNA", at positions 525 to 776 of the family's 1533-position model. The record is from RNAcentral.
ACGUAGGUGGCAAGCGUUGUCCGGAAUUAUUGGGCGUAAUGCGCGCGCAGGCGGUCCUUUAAGUCUGAUGUGAAAGCCCACGGCUCAACCGUGGAGGGUCAUCGGAAACUGGGGGACUUGAGUGCAGAAGAGGAAAGUGGAAUUCCACGUGUAGCGGUGAAAUGCGUAGAUAUCUGGAGGAACACCGGUGGCGAAGGCGACAUCCUGGACCAAUACUGACGCUGAGUGAGCGAAAGCCAGGGGAGCAAACGGG